Molecule: small nucleolar RNA, 150 nt
Filed under: Penicillium brasilianum
Lineage: Eukaryota; Fungi; Ascomycota; Eurotiomycetes; Eurotiales; Aspergillaceae
Source: RNAcentral
AUUCGGGUUGAUAACUAGGCGGCCGGUCUCAACAACCUACGACGUCUGCCUUUUAAGUACCCGAUAGAUUGACCCCUUGGCGAAGAUCUUACACGUUUCCAAAGCGCUCAUGCUUCAGUAUUUGGCGACUUUUAAAUUUUCGCGACAUAC